Gavialis gangeticus (Gharial) is the source of this 194-nucleotide long non-coding RNA. RefSeq lists it as uncharacterized. Lineage: Eukaryota; Metazoa; Chordata; Crocodylia; Gavialidae. The record is from RefSeq and is a predicted model, not a curated record. The transcript is spliced from 3 exons.
UUUGAAAGGUAAAAAAUUAAAUAAAUUGAAAACCUACAUACACCAUAAAAUUUGGUCUGUGCCACAAGAAAUAUUUGAAAUUAUUUCACAACUAGGCUGUCUUUGAAAAAAGAGCACAACUGAAAUCCUGAUUUUUCUUAAUGGGACAAAAUAAAACCUGAUUUGAAAAAAGGAAGUCAAGAAUAAGAGUUUCA